UACGGAGGAUGCGAGCGUUAUCCGGAUUUAUUGGGUUUAAAGGGUGCGUAGGCGGACGCUUAAGUCAGCGGUAAAAUUGCGGGGCUCAACCUCGUCGAGCCGUUGAAACUGGGUGCCUUGAGUGGGCGAGAAGUACGCGGAAUGCGUGGCGUAGCGGUGAAAUGCAUAGAUAUCACGCAGAACUCCGAUUGCGAAGGCAGCGUACCGGCGCCCAACUGACGCUGAAGCACGAAGGCGUGGGUAUCGAACAGG
RNAcentral lists this ribosomal RNA (252 nucleotides) under uncultured bacterium. Its description in RNAcentral is "partial 16S ribosomal RNA". It matches the Rfam family "Bacterial small subunit ribosomal RNA", at positions 524 to 776 of the family's 1533-position model. The record is from RNAcentral.